UCGGGAAUUUUGGGCAAUGGGGGAAACCCUGACCCAGCAACGCCGCGUGAAGGAUGAAGUAUUUCGGUAUGUAAACUUCGAAAGAAUAGGAAGAAUAAAUGACGGUACUAUUUAUAAGGUCCGGCUAACUACGUGCCAGCAGCCGCGGUAAUACGUAGGGACCAAGCGUUGUUCGGAUUUACUGGGCGUAAAGGGCGCGUAGGCGGCAUGACAAGUCACUUGUGAAAUCUCUGGGCUUAACCCAGAACGGCCAAGUGAUACUGUCGCGCUAGAGUGCAGAAAGGGCAACUGGAAUUCUUGGUGUAGCGGUGAAAUGCGUAGAUAUCAAGAGGAACACCUGAGGCGAAGGCGAGUUGCUAGGCUGACACUGACGCUGAGGUACGAAAGCUAGGGGAGCGAACGGGAUUAGAUACCCAAGUAGUCCCUGAGCGGGCUGGCAAGGCGCAU
This 447-nucleotide ribosomal RNA is filed under the name uncultured bacterium. Its description in RNAcentral is "bacterial SSU rRNA". It matches the Rfam family "Bacterial small subunit ribosomal RNA", at positions 355 to 825 of the family's 1533-position model. The record is from RNAcentral.